UAAUCUCAGGAGGUCCUGCUCGGUCC
RNAcentral lists this non-coding RNA (26 nucleotides) under Mus musculus (house mouse). Lineage: Eukaryota; Metazoa; Chordata; Mammalia; Rodentia; Muridae. The record is from RNAcentral.